Molecule: ribosomal RNA, 765 nt
Filed under: uncultured Parvimonas sp.
Lineage: Bacteria; Bacillati; Bacillota; Tissierellia; Tissierellales; Peptoniphilaceae
Description: bacterial SSU rRNA
Rfam family: Bacterial small subunit ribosomal RNA
Source: RNAcentral
GACGAACGCUGGCGGCGUGCCUAAUACAUGCAAGUAGAACGCUGAAGAGAGGAGCUUGCUCUUCUUGGAUGAGUUGCGAACGGGUGAGUAACGCGUAGGUAACCUGCCUGGUAGCGGGGGAUAACUAUUGGAAACGAUAGCUAAUACCGCAUAAAAUGGAUUAUCGCAUGAUAAUCCAUUGAAAGGUGCAAAUGCAUCACUACCAGAUGGACCUGCGUUGUAUUAGCUAGUUGGUGGGGUAACGGCUCACCAAGGCGACGAUACAUAGCCGACCUGAGAGGGUGAUCGGCCACACUGGGACUGAGACACGGCCCAGACUCCUACGGGAGGCAGCAGUGGGGAAUAUUGCGCAAUGGGGGCAACCCUGACGCAGCCAUGCCGCGUGAAUGAAGAAGGCCUUCGGGUUGUAAAGUUCUUUCGGUAGCGAGGAAGGCAUUUAGUUUAAUAAACUGGAUGAUUGACGUUAACUACAGAAGAAGCACCGGCUAACUCCGUGCCAGCAGCCGCGGUAAUACGGAGGGUGCGAGCGUUAAUCGGAAUAACUGGGCGUAAAGGGCACGCAGGCGGUGACUUAAGUGAGGUGUGAAAGCCCCGGGCUUAACCUGGGAAUUGCAUUUCAUACUGGGUCGCUAGAGUACUUUAGGGAGGGGUAGAAUUCCACGUGUAGCGGUGAAAUGCGUAGAGAUGUGGAGGAAUACCGAAGGCGAAGGCAGCCCCUUGGGAAUGUACUGACGCUCAUGUGCGAAAGCGUGGGGAGCAAACAGG